AUGAUUGCUCGCGCGAGGCUUGGCACAAAAGUGAUCUCGCGCGAACAGCCCUGCUGCGGUACUGAGGUAAACAGAAGAAAACUGCGGAUCCGCUUCGGACUUGGGUUUAAAGCGAUGGACGCGUUGGACAUGUUAUUACAGCAAACAGACUAUCACAAUUUUGAGAGAGAGGCUAAGUACCACUACCUCGCUAACUUUCCUCCAAGACAAGAGUCAGGAUACUACAGUGAGGUGAACAUCUUGGUUCUCAGGGAGGUUACUACCAAAUCUGUCUCUAUGAAGCUGCGGCGCAGGACAGUCCUGAGAAGCCGACGGCUUCGACAGCGAGAACAUGUGAAGGACUCUGAGAGCAUCUCUGUGGUGUUGAGGGACGCUGACUCUAGUCAGUCAGACAGUGUGGAAGAAAUAAAAGAUCAGGUGUCUGUUCUUCGUGAUAUGGAGCGGCCGGUAAGGAAGAGUAGAGCUGGUUCAUCUUGUCGCGUGAGAAAAGAAGGCGAGAGGCCGCUUUCUGAUGUGGAAGCACAACCUGGGACGGUUCAGAAGAUCUCCCUGGCUCCAGUAAGAUGCAGAGAGUGCGAGAGACUUUUCGCAAAGAUGAGAAAACAUCCCACCCCGGAAAAGAAAAGCAGAGAUACAGAUCCAGCAUCUUUAUCUUGUGAUGUGUGGGUUCUGCUUAAGAAGUGGCACCCUCAGAGACACCGUCAUCGAGAGAAGGGAUUAUUGUGGACGAGCCUGAGUCGGAUCAGGAAGCUGUUAGCAGGAGGCUCCGACUUUGCAGCUGUCAACAGAACAGAAGCAAACUGCUCCAGACCUCAUGUAUUUCAGCAGAGGAAUUUACGGCGCUGCAAGUAUCUGCUUUCCAUUCAGACCAACCGGUCCAUUACCAAAGCAAAGCCACGGCAUCGUAAGAGGUCACGAUCUGUGGUCUGGCCACCCCUCGCUGGCUGGACAUCUUCAGUGAAAAGGAAGCCUUCUUUGAACAACACAUUUUCUCAGCAGCUUUCUCCUCUCAACCUUAGUGUUAGGAUGACACAGGAGGACAAACUGUUUGUAGAUGAUAAGAUUUCAAGAUUAAAUGCAGAUUUGAAGCAGAACUCAGAUGCCUCCAGCGAACAGAGGACGACUAAUGUCCGUGGCAAACUGAACAAGCAGGAAGUGUUUGAUGGCAUAGAAGGAACGCGGCGGGUGCUGAAGUUUGAUGAAACGCCUGAAACUGUUGCUGUGGAAGCUGCGGAACAGAGGAAAAGCCCUCGGCAGAAGCACAAACGUGGAGUGAUUCGUGAAGCUCAGAAUGGUUUCCAGAAUGAGCAGCAGGAGGAGAUUUCUGAGGAUUCGGAUGGGUUCAGGACUCCCACAGAUCUGUUCAGCGUGAAGCCUAAAAUGAAAGGAGGGAACCAGAAGAAAGUCUCUGCCUCUGGUGUAACAAAACCUGCCGCUCAGAAGCCCAACUUCAUGUCCAUGUUAGCCACUCUGGUGAAGAAUCAGAAUCAGAUUAUUAAAGAGUCCUGCAAAUGA
Molecule: long non-coding RNA, 1515 nt
Organism: Cyprinus carpio (common carp)
Lineage: Eukaryota; Metazoa; Chordata; Actinopteri; Cypriniformes; Cyprinidae
Source: Ensembl